UAGUUCGUUUCCUCUAGAUUCGGACUAAAUAAGAAGCCUCGACUGUUCGCGCAGUUGGGGCUUCGCUG
RNAcentral lists this non-coding RNA (68 nucleotides) under Providencia alcalifaciens. Lineage: Bacteria; Pseudomonadati; Pseudomonadota; Gammaproteobacteria; Enterobacterales; Morganellaceae. The record is from RNAcentral.